CUACGGGGCGCAGCAGGCGCGAAACCUUUACCAUGCGGGCAACCGUGAUAAGGAAACCCCGAGUGGAUGAAUAGUCAUCCUGUCCAUCAGUUUAGAUCCCUGGUGAAGAAAGGGCCGGGCAAGACCGGUGCCAGCCGCCGCGGUAAUACCGGCGGCUCGAGUGGUGGCCACUAUUACUGGGCUUAAAGGGUCCGUAGCUUGCAUGAUAAGCCUCUUGAGAAAUCCACUGGCUUAACCAAUGGUCGUUCGGGAGGAACUGUCAUGCUAGGGACCGGGAGAGGUAAGGGGUACUGCCGGGGUAGGAGUGAAAUCCUGUAAUCCCGGUGGGACCACCGGUGGCGAAGGCGCCUUACCAGAACGGCUCCGACAGUGAGGGACGAAAGCUGGGGGAGCGAACCGGAUUAGAUACCCGGGUAGUCCCAGCCGUAAACGAUGCGCGUUAGGUGUGUCAGUGACCACGCGUUACUGAGGUGCCGAAGGGAAACCGUGAAACGCGCCGCCUGGGAAGUACGGUCGCAAGGCUGAAACUUAAAGGAAUUGGCGGGGGAGCACCACAACAGGUGGAGCCUGCGGUUUAAUCGGACUCAACGCCGGGAACCUCACCAGAUAAGACAGCAGUAUGAAGGUCGGGAUGAAGACUCUACUAGACUCGCUGAGAGGAGGUGCAUGGCCGUCGUCAGUUCGUACUGUGAAGCAUCCUGUUUAGUCAGGCAACGAGCGAGACCCACGCCAACAUUUGCCAGCUUUUCCUUUGGGAAGAUGGGGACACUGUUGGGACCGCCUCUGCUAAAGAGGAGGAAGGAUUGGGCAACGGUAGGUCAGCAUGCCCCGAAUUAUCUGGGCCACACGCGGGCUACAAUGGGCAGGACAAUGGGCGUCCUCCACCGAAAGGUGUCGGUAAUCUCCUAACCCUGUCCGAAGUUCGGAUUGCGGAUUGUAACUCAUCCGCAUGAAGCUGGAAUCUGUAGUAAUCGCGUUUCAUCAUAGCGCGGUGAAUAUGUCCCUGCUCCUU
This 1012-nucleotide ribosomal RNA is filed under the name Nasutitermes takasagoensis symbiont MNt1. Its description in RNAcentral is "bacterial SSU rRNA". It matches the Rfam family "Archaeal small subunit ribosomal RNA", at positions 323 to 1338 of the family's 1478-position model. The record is from RNAcentral. Lineage: Archaea; Methanobacteriati; Methanobacteriota; Methanomicrobia; Methanomicrobiales; Methanomicrobiaceae.